Nothobranchius furzeri (turquoise killifish) is the source of this 1939-nucleotide long non-coding RNA. NCBI's taxonomy places the organism in Eukaryota, Metazoa, Chordata, Actinopteri, Cyprinodontiformes, Nothobranchiidae. The record is from Ensembl.
CUGUCCACACGUACCCGGAUAAAUACGUUGUUAAGGACAUGCCAGACCUGUAGGCGGCAGUACUUCCCCCGUUCUUAACCUCGUCCUUCGUCUGUGGUCUUCCGCAAGGAGCAGUGAUUCCGCUUGCAAAAACAAACAAGCAAAAAGUGCUUGGACAAUUGAUAAAGCGAGCGCAGCUCUGAGGGCUUCCAUGCUGUCGGCUAGUGUAAACACAGGUCGCACACAUGAUGUCAGCAUUUUUUUGUCGCGGAAAGUGACGUUGCAGACCUUAAAACUCCGGCUUUGUCUGUCCACACGCAGACACCCAAAACGGAGAAAACGCAGAUCUUCACUUUGGCCGGAGUUUUUAAAAAGAUUUGUUUUCGUGUGAAAAAAAACUCAGUUUUUGUGUGGUUGACAGGCCAAAACGUAGAAAAAUAUCUACGUUUUGGCAGAUCCCCGGCGACGUGUCCCCUUCAAUAUUGGACAAACGCGCAUUUGUCCCCCCCAACAACAAGGAGAAGACAAAAAUUGAUUUUGAAAUAUUUGACUCGCAAGCUUUUAUUUUGAAAGACACCGCGGACUUCUCACUGACACAGCCCCUCCCCUUAGGGAGUCAGACAGGCUGGCUGAGUGAAGCGGGAGUCGGAGCUGGGACGGCAGCAGCUCAGCGAGUUCUUCUCAUGGGCAAAAUAAGGAAGAAAGGAAAUAGACCAGAGGAAGUUCAGCAGGAAAUGAUGAAGAAAGUGAGACAGGCAGUGCCAGACCUGCUGAGGGUGAGACAGGGAGCAAAAGACUUGCUGAGGUGCAGGUAGGUGCUACAAUGAAGAGUGAGAUUUUAGAUGGUUGAUGAUGAGAGGAAGAUUCGAGCAUGAUAACAAGUGAACAUGACUAAAUAAUACUAUAACAACCAUGAUUUUAACAUUGCACUAGUCCUCCAACAGUAUUUUUACUCCUUAUUCAUGUACACUGUUUUAAUUUUAGAGAUCAGAUGAAGUUCAGCAGGAACUUGCUGAGGGUGAGACAGGGAGAGUCAGACCUGCUGAGGGUAAGACAGGGAGAGCCAGACCUGCUGAGGGUGAGAUAGGGAGAGCCAGACCAGCUGAGAGUGAGACAGGGAGAGCCAGACCAGCUGAGGGUGAGACAGGGAGAGCCAAACUUGCUGAGGGUGAGGCAGGGAGAGCCUGACCAGCUGAGGGUGAGACAGGGAGAGCCAGACAUGCUGAGGGUGAGGCAGGGAGAGCCAGACCAGCUGAGGGUGAGACAGGGAGAUCCAGACCAGGUGAGAGUGAGACAGGGAGAGCCAGACCAGGUGAGAGUGAGACAGGGAGAGCCAGACCAGGUGAGAGUGAGACAGGGAGAGCCAGACUUGCUGAGGGUGAGACAGGGAGAGCCAGACCUGCUGAGGUGCUACAGUGAAGAGUGAGAUGAUUUUAGGUGGCUGAUGAGAGGAAGAUUUGAAUGUGAUAAUAAGUGAAUGCAGUCGAAUGUAUUUAAUCACAACAAGUAGAGCUGGGCAGUUCGGCUUAAGAUUAAAAUAAAUGCUUCCUUAGAAAUAUUAGAAAAAUAAGUGUUAAACUCUGCAUUCUGGUGCAUUUAGACUGCAAUUUUGGCCACUGUUUUUUCUUUUGUCUCUCUGAAAAUUAAUGUAGUUCCAGCUGUUGUUGUGAGUGAAUUGUUUCUUUUUUCAUUCUGUCAGAAGCAAACAAAUUUUUCUGAUUGUUGGUCAGCAUUGUUGGCUGAUGUAGUUUAAGAGAGUCAGAUCAAUUCAGACUGAAUAUUCACAGCUUUAGUCUUGUAUUAAAUCUGUUUACACAUCUCUACCCAUAUGAAUAAGAUCAUAUAUCCUACAUUCAUACUAUUAAAUCAAAAUAAAACAGUACUGACACAUAAACAGCUUUUUUAUAAUUAAAACGUCCACGUUGGCCGGUAAUCACCUGGAUCUGGCUAAUGGGGAGCC